AUUGAACGCUGGCGGCAGGCCUAACACAUGCAAGUCGAGCGGAUGAAGGGAGCUUGCUCCUGGAUUCAGCGGCGGACGGGUGAGUAAUGCCUAGGAAUCUGCCUGGUAGUGGGGGAUAACGUCCGGAAACGGGCGCUAAUACCGCAUACGUCCUGAGGGAGAAAGUGGGGGAUCUUCGGACCUCACGCUAUCAGAUGAGCCUAGGUCGGAUUAGCUAGUUGGUGGGGUAAAGGCCUACCAAGGCGACGAUCCGUAACUGGUCUGAGAGGAUGAACAGUCACACUGGAACUGAGACACGGUCCAGACUCCUACGGGAGGCAGCAGUGGGGAAUAUUGGACAAUGGGCGAAAGCCUGAUCCAGCCAUGCCGCGUGUGUGAAGAAGGUCUUCGGAUUGUAAAGCACUUUAAGUUGGGAGGAAGGGCAGUAAGUUAAUACCUUGCUGUUUUGACAUUACCAACAGAAUAAGCACCGGCUAACUUCGUG
This 484-nucleotide ribosomal RNA is filed under the name uncultured bacterium. Its description in RNAcentral is "partial 16S ribosomal RNA". It matches the Rfam family "Bacterial small subunit ribosomal RNA", at positions 30 to 507 of the family's 1533-position model. The record is from RNAcentral.